CCUACGGGGGGCUGCAGUGGGGAAUAUUGGACAAUGGGGGGAACCCUGAUCCAGUCAUGCCGCGUGUGUGAAGAAGGCCCUCGGGUUGUAAAGCACUUUCAGUGAGGAAGAACGCCUGGUGGUUAAUACCCAUCAGGAAAGACAUCACUCACAGAAGAAGCACCGGCUAACUCCGUGCCAGCAGCCGCGGUAAUACGGAGGGUGCGAGCGUUAAUCGGAAUUACUGGGCGUAAAGCGCGCGUAGGUGGCUUGAUAAGCCGGUUGUGAAAGCCCCGGGCUCAACCUGGGAACGGCAUCCGGAACUGUCAAGCUAGAGUGCAGGAGAGGAAGGUAGAAUUCCCGGUGUAGCGGUGAAAUGCGUAGAGAUCGGGAGGAAUACCGGUGGCGAAGGCGGCCUUCUGGACUGACACUGACACUGAGGUGCGAAAGCGUGGGUAGCAAACAGGAUUAGAUACCCCAGUAGUC
RNAcentral lists this ribosomal RNA (465 nucleotides) under Vreelandella stevensii. RNAcentral's name for it is "partial 16S ribosomal RNA". It matches the Rfam family "Bacterial small subunit ribosomal RNA", at positions 338 to 795 of the family's 1533-position model. The record is from RNAcentral. Lineage: Bacteria; Pseudomonadati; Pseudomonadota; Gammaproteobacteria; Oceanospirillales; Halomonadaceae.